UAAUACGGAAUGUGCAAACGUUAUUCGGAAUCACUGGGCUUAAAGAGUCCGUAGGCGGCUUGUUAGGUGAGGUGUGAAAUCCCUCGGCCCAACCGAGGAAUUGCGCUUCAAACCGGCAAGCUAGAGGAGGAUAGAGGUGGGCGGAACUGAUGGUGGAGCGGUGAAAUGCGUUGAUAUCAUCAGGAACACCGGAGGCGAAGGCGGUCCACUGGGUCCUUUCUGAC
This 224-nucleotide ribosomal RNA is filed under the name uncultured bacterium. RNAcentral's name for it is "partial 16S ribosomal RNA". It matches the Rfam family "Bacterial small subunit ribosomal RNA", at positions 521 to 744 of the family's 1533-position model. The record is from RNAcentral.